This is a non-coding RNA of Spinacia oleracea (spinach), 143 nucleotides long. The record is from Rfam. NCBI's taxonomy places the organism in Eukaryota, Viridiplantae, Streptophyta, Magnoliopsida, Caryophyllales, Amaranthaceae.
CAAGCCUUCGAAUAGCUGAAUGGUUAAUCUAGGAAUCAUUUGGUUCAGACAGAGGCUUAGAUUGAAACUGGGAUUACAUCCCUCGAACGAACCAGUUGGAUGGAUGAUGAGGGAUGUAUAAUUUUACCUAAAUCCUUCAAUUA